Rhododendron vialii is the source of this 148-nucleotide small nucleolar RNA. RefSeq annotates it as small nucleolar RNA snoR135. Lineage: Eukaryota; Viridiplantae; Streptophyta; Magnoliopsida; Ericales; Ericaceae. The transcript has a single exon. The record is from RefSeq and is a predicted model, not a curated record.
UGUGCAGGGAUUGUGUGUAUCGGCGUUGUGCAAAAUCAGUGCACGGUGUCCGAAAGUGUUCCCUGCAACAACGAUUUCAUACGGGGAAGGUGGGCAGUUGUGUUUCAUUCCUCCUGUUGAAACUUCAACAAUCAUCUUCCCCACAUCC